AAAUUUUAUUUUGGCCAGGAGCUGAAGUUGGUUGUUUAGUAGUAGUAGUUUGAGUAGUGACCGAAGUAGUAGUCUGGUGUGUGGGUGGGGCAGCUGUGGUCUCUGGUGGAGCUGAGGCGGAUGAUGGGUCUAGGGUAGUUGCAGAAGGUGUGGGUGGGGCAGCUGUGGUCUCUGGUGGAGCUGAGGAAGAUGGUGGAGCUGGUGUAGUUGCAGGAGGUGUGGGUGGGGCAGCUGUGGUGUCUUGUGGAGCUGGGGAAUUCACUGGUGCUAAUGUAGCUACAGAAGAGCUUGUGUUAACAUUUUCUCUUGAAGAUAUGGUGGUGGCAUUCUGGGGAAGAAAAGUCACAUUUGGAAGGGUAGUAAUUUUGGUGGAAGCUUAGGCCUACAGCGUUUGUGCAGACAUUUAUAGGACUUUCUAAUGAACGGCUUCUGGUGAGCUAGCA
This 443-nucleotide long non-coding RNA is filed under the name Homo sapiens (human). RNAcentral describes it as "HSALNT0320153". Lineage: Eukaryota; Metazoa; Chordata; Mammalia; Primates; Hominidae. The record is from RNAcentral.